CCACCACUAAGGAAUACAGCCGCAAUCGACCUCCAGCAGCCAACCACCCGUCUGCUUGUCCAACCAAUCACACUGACAGUCUAUGCCCACCCACAAUAAACACCACCGUCCAGCUCCUCCGCCUGCUUUCUAUAUCUCCCUCUCCUUCCACCGUCUCCUCACUCUCGGGUGUCCCCUCUGUGGCCUGCCCGACACCUCAUCGCCAGGCCCUGGCCACGGAUCGUAUCCUCCCUGUCGAAUUAGGUAACCAUUUUAGCCCUAUUGUUUGCGUUUGCCAACUCCGCCAGAUGAAGCUGCUGCGGCUCUUUCAACAGACCGUCAUCGCUUUUCCAUCCCUAGCCUAGACUGAGAACUUCCCUUCCUCCCCCCGUUCCUAGUCUCUAACGCUCUCUCUGCCUGGAGCUUGACUCAUUCUUGCUCGACCUUUUUCCUUCCCCAACCAUCCCAUACUUUUCUUCCAGUUUGGCGGGAAAAAUGUCAUGGCAGCUUCCCCGCUAGAUAGCUCCAGCACCCCACACCCUGCUGCCGUAGCUGUUGAUCCUCCAGGCUCCCCGAAUGAUCCCAUGGAAGAUACAUAUACCCAAGCUACCCGGAAACGCCCUCGUCUUGACAGUGGGAAUCAUUCAAACGAAUCCAUGACCAUGUCGGUUCCCUCCCCAAGCUCUGACAGCGGUCAUUACGGCAACGAUCAGCUUCUUAGCGGUGGGAGCCUUGUCCCUCCUGCGGCUACGUCAGUUCCAGACCCGGAAACACCCAACCCACAACGUCCCUCCAGCAGAGUAACGAUCAAUAUGAAAUCUCCCACUCUCCAUGAUGACUCUGCCUCUCAUACCGUUGAAGAAACUCCAGCAGUGUCGGACCAGCUGCAAUCAGAGCAAUCGGAGCAGCAGGAGCAACAUGAACAACAUGAACAAUUCCAGAUGUCUCCAGAUCUGACAUCCCAUGCCCAAACUGCAAUAUCCAUCACUUCGUCCCCGUCGCGCAGUCCCGAAAUCGAGGUCGCUGAGGUGGAAGACAUGGAUCAAGAUCCCAGCACAUCCAACUGGAGAUCAUUAGAGGAUGCCCUCAGGGAAGAACCUGAUCUUGUGCACAUGCAUGACGAGGUUUCCCUGGCAGAAUCCUUCCCACGACUCAGGCAGGAUUGUGACGUACGGGAAGCCAUAGAAGAGAUAGCGAAUUAUUUCGAGAGAGGUCAUCCCCACGAUAUCACAUUCUUUAUAUCGGUUAAGAGCUGGCUUGAGCUCUGUGUGAAUAACCUAAAUAGCAUCUCCUAUGAUACCGUCGCUGA
This 1288-nucleotide small RNA is filed under the name Histoplasma capsulatum. RNAcentral describes it as "hypothetical RNA". The record is from RNAcentral. Lineage: Eukaryota; Fungi; Ascomycota; Eurotiomycetes; Onygenales; Ajellomycetaceae. RNAcentral also lists the same sequence under 1 other name.